GACAGCCAGGAUGUUGGCUUAGAAGCAGCCAUCAUUUAAAGAAAGCGUAAUAGCUCACUGGUCGAGUCGGCCUGCGCGGAAGAUGUAACGGGGCUAAACCAUGCACCGAAGCUGCGGCAGCGACGCUUAUGCGUUGUUGGGUAGGGGAGCGUUCUGUAAGCCUGUGAAGGUGUACUGUGAGGUAUGCUGGAGGUAUCAGAAGUGCGAAUGCUGACAUAAGUAACGAUAAAGCGGGUGAAAAGCCCGCUCGCCGGA
RNAcentral lists this ribosomal RNA (255 nucleotides) under Escherichia coli. RNAcentral describes it as "partial 23S ribosomal RNA". It matches the Rfam family "Bacterial large subunit ribosomal RNA", at positions 1088 to 1341 of the family's 2925-position model. The record is from RNAcentral. Lineage: Bacteria; Pseudomonadati; Pseudomonadota; Gammaproteobacteria; Enterobacterales; Enterobacteriaceae.